RNAcentral lists this ribosomal RNA (492 nucleotides) under uncultured bacterium. Its description in RNAcentral is "partial 16S ribosomal RNA". It matches the Rfam family "Bacterial small subunit ribosomal RNA", at positions 29 to 507 of the family's 1533-position model. The record is from RNAcentral.
AGUGAACGCUGGCGGUAUGCCUAACACAUGCAAGUCGAACGGCAACACAUUCAGAGCUUGCUCUUACCGUUGGCGAGUGGCGGACGGGUGAGGAAUACAUCGGAAUCUACUUUUUCGUGGGGGAUAACGUAUGGAAACUUACGCUAAUACCGCAUACGACCUACGGGUGAAUGCAGGGGAUCUUCGCACCUUGCGCGAUUCUUUGAUCCUAUUUCGGAUUGGCUAGUUGGCGGGGUAAAGGCCCACCAAGGCGAAGAUCCGUGGCUGGCAUGAGAGGAUGAGGGGCCACACUGGAACGGAGAGACGGUCAAGACUCCUACGGGAGGCAGCAGUGGGGAAUAUUGGACAAAGGGGGCAAGAAUGAUCGAGCAAGACCGCGUGGGUGAAGAAGGCAUUCGGGUUGUAAAGACCUUUUGUUGGGAAAGAAAAGCAGCAGGAGAAUACACCGAGGUUCUGACGGUACCCAAAGAAUAAGCAACGGCUAAAUACGUG